RNAcentral lists this ribosomal RNA (1346 nucleotides) under uncultured bacterium. RNAcentral describes it as "bacterial SSU rRNA". It matches the Rfam family "Bacterial small subunit ribosomal RNA", at positions 28 to 1387 of the family's 1533-position model. The record is from RNAcentral.
GACGAACGCUGGCGGCGCGCCUAACACAUGCAAGUCGAACGGAGCUUAAAGAGCUUGCUUUUUAAGCUUAGUGGCGAACGGGUGAGUAACGCGUGAGUAACCUGCCCUAGAGUGGGGGACAACAGUUGGAAACGACUGCUAAUACCGCAUAAGCCCACGGUACCGCAUGACACUGAGGGAAAAGGAUUUAUUCGCUUUAGGAUGGACUCGCGUCCAAUUAGCUAGUUGGUGAGGUAACGGCCCACCAAGGCGACGAUUGGUAGCCGGACUGAAGAGGUUGAACGGCCACAUUGGGACUGAGACACGGCCCAAACUCCUACGGGAGGCAGCAGUGGGGAAUAUUGCACAAUGGGGGAAACCCUGAUGCAGCGACGCCGCGUGAGCGAUGAAGUAUUUCGGUAUGUAAAGCUCUAUCAGCAGGGAAGAAAAUGACGGUACCUGACUAAGAAGCACCGGCUAAAUACGUGCCAGCAGCCGCGGUAAUACGUAUGGUGCAAGCGUUAUCCGGAUUUACUGGGUGUAAAGGGAGCGUAGACGGAGUGGCAAGUCUGAUGUGAAAACCCGGGGCUCAACCCCGGGACUGCAUUGGAAACUGUCAAUCUAGAGUACCGGAGAGGUAAGCGGAAUUCCUAGUGUAGCGGUGAAAUGCGUAGAUAUUAGGAGGAACACCAGUGGCGAAGGCGGCUUACUGGACGGUAACUGACGUUGAGGCUCGAAAGCGUGGGGAGCAAACAGGAUUAGAUACCCUGGUAGUCCACGCCGUAAACGAUGACUACUAGGUGUCGGGCAGCAAAGCUGUUCGGUGCCGCAGCAAACGCAAUAAGUAGUCCACCUGGGGAGUACGUUCGCAAGAAUGAAACUCAAAGGAAUUGACGGGGACCCGCACAAGCGGUGGAGCAUGUGGUUUAAUUCGAAGCAACGCGAAGAACCUUACCUGCUCUUGACAUCUCCCUGACCGGCAAGUAAUGUUGCCUUUCCUUCGGGACAGGGAUGACAGGUGGUGCAUGGUUGUCGUCAGCUCGUGUCGUGAGAUGUUGGGUUAAGUCCCGCAACAAGCGCAACCCCUAUCUUUAGUAGCCAGCGGUUCAGCCGGGCACUCUAGAGAGACUGCCAGGGAUAACCUGGAGGAAGGUGGGGAGGACGUCAAAUCAUCAUGCCCCUUAUGAGCAUGGCUACACACGUGCUACAAUGGCGUAAACAAAGGGAGGCAGAACCGCGAGGUCGAGCAAAUCCCAAAAAUAACGUCUCAGUUCGGAUUGUAGUCUGCAACUCGACUACAUGAAGCUGGAAUCGCUAGUAAUCGCGAAUCAGAAUGUCGCGGUGAAUAAGUUCCCGUGUCUUGCACA